Molecule: ribosomal RNA, 849 nt
Filed under: Microbacterium flavescens
Lineage: Bacteria; Bacillati; Actinomycetota; Actinomycetes; Micrococcales; Microbacteriaceae
Description: bacterial SSU rRNA
Rfam family: Bacterial small subunit ribosomal RNA
Source: RNAcentral
AGUCGACGGUGAGCUCAGCUUGCUGGGUGGAUCAGUGGCGAACGGGUGAGUAACACGUGAGCAACCUGCCCCGGACUCUGGGAUAAGCGCUGGAAACGGCGUCUAAUACUGGAUAUGAACCGCAGCCGCAUGGCUAGUGGUUGGAAAGAUUUUUCGGUCUGGGAUGGGCUCGCGGCCUAUCAGCUUGUUGGUGAGGUAAUGGCUCACCAAGGCGUCGACGGGUAGCCGGCCUGAGAGGGUGACCGGCCACACUGGGACUGAGACACGGCCCAGACUCCUACGGGAGGCAGCAGUGGGGAAUAUUGCACAAUGGGCGGAAGCCUGAUGCAGCAACGCCGCGUGAGGGAUGACGGCCUUCGGGUUGUAAACCUCUUUUAGCAAGGAAGAAGCGAAAGUGACGGUACUUGCAGAAAAAGCGCCGGCUAACUACGUGCCAGCAGCCGCGGUAAUACGUAGGGCGCAAGCGUUAUCCGGAAUUAUUGGGCGUAAAGAGCUCGUAGGCGGUUUGUCGCGUCUGCUGUGAAAUCCCGAGGCUCAACCUCGGGCCUGCAGUGGGUACGGGCAGACUAGAGUGCGGUAGGGGAGAUUGGAAUUCCUGGUGUAGCGGUGGAAUGCGCAGAUAUCAGGAGGAACACCGAUGGCGAAGGCAGAUCUCUGGGCCGUAACUGACGCUGAGGAGCGAAAGGGUGGGGAGCAAACAGGCUUAGAUACCCUGGUAGUCCACCCCGUAAACGUUGGGAACUAGUUGUGGGGUCCAUUCCACGGAUUCCGUGACGCAGCUAACGCAUUAAGUUCCCCGCCUGGGGGAGUACGGCGCAGGCUAAACUCAAGGAAUUGACGGGGACCCGC